Molecule: ribosomal RNA, 250 nt
Filed under: uncultured prokaryote
Description: partial 16S ribosomal RNA
Rfam family: Bacterial small subunit ribosomal RNA
Source: RNAcentral
UACGAAGGGGGCGAGCGUUGUUCGGAAUUACUGGGCGUAAAGGGAGUGUAGGCGGUUUAGUGAGAUAGCGGUGAAAUCCCGGGGCUUAACCUCGGAAUUGCCAUUAUUACUAUUAGACUAGAAUGAUAGAGAGGAUAUCGGAAUACCCAGUGUAGAGGUGAAAUUCGUAGAUAUUGGGUAGAACACCGGUGGCGAAGGCGGGUAUCUGGCUAUUAAUUGACGCUGAGGCUCGAAAGCAUGGGGAUCAAAC